RNAcentral lists this ribosomal RNA (460 nucleotides) under uncultured Prevotella sp. RNAcentral describes it as "bacterial SSU rRNA". It matches the Rfam family "Bacterial small subunit ribosomal RNA", at positions 338 to 795 of the family's 1533-position model. Lineage: Bacteria; Pseudomonadati; Bacteroidota; Bacteroidia; Bacteroidales; Prevotellaceae. The record is from RNAcentral.
CCUACGGCGGGCAGCAGUGAGGAAUAUUGGUCAAUGGGCGAAAGCCUGAACCAGCCAAGUAGCGUGCAGGAUGAAGGCCCUAUGGGUUGUAAACUGCUUUUACAGGGGAAUAAAGAGGAGCACGAGUGCCCUGUUGCAUGUACCCUGCGAAUAAGGACCGGCUAAUUCCGUGCCAGCAGCCGCGGUAAUACGGAAGGUCCUGGUGUUAUCCGGAUUUCUUGGGUUUAAAGGGAGCGGAGGCCGUAGAUUAAGUGUGUUGUGAAAUGUAGGCGCCCAACGUCUGCCUUGCAGCGCAAACUGGUUUACUUGAGUACGCGCAACGCAGGCGGAAUUCGUCGUGUAGCGGUGAAAUGCUUAGAUAGGACGAAGAACUCCUAUUGCGAAGGCAGCUUGCGGGAGCGUCACUGACGCUGAAGCUCGAAAGUGCGGGUAUCGAACAGGAUUAGAUACCCUAGUAGUC